CACGUGUCCUCAUCCCCCUCCCAUUGGAGCGGCGAUCGGCGUCGCUUCUCUCCAUCUCGUAGCCCUCCUCAGGGCCCGUUCUUGGUUCUCUUGGACCGUGAAGACGUCGGGCAUGUCGACGGAGAGGAAGCGGAAGGUGAGCCUCUUCGACGUGGUGGACGAGUCCGCCGUGUCGGUGAAGCUGGCCGAGGUCAAUGGCUCCGCCCCGGACCGGCGGCGGCCACCCCCGUGGAGCCGCCGGGGAUCAACCGGUGGAGCGGCGGCCCUGCUCGGAGAGAUACUUCGAAAUCCUUGAGAAGAGGAAGACCCUGCCAAUCUGGCAGCAGAAAGACGAGCUCUUGCAAGCACUCAAGGCCAACGAGACCCUGAUCCUCGUCGGAGAGACCGGCAGUGGCAAAACGACCCAGGUUAAUCGGCAUUGCUCCACACUAUCAUGAUCUCAGCAAUUUUCCUUCCUGUGAGGCAAAACGAGUUUAGAAAGGCUGUACAAAAAGCGUGAGAAAGAGAAGGGCGAGAGCAAAGCCAGAAACAGAGCCUUGUAGAUUGAUUUUGCUAGUGCGAUGGUGUGUUUGACAAGAAUGGUUGCACAAACAUCUUAGUUCAUCACCGUGUGAUUGGUGCCUUCAAUGUCCUUUUAAGUAGUUGCAUGCUGUUCCCAGUGAAAAAUACAAGAGCAUUUUUUUUCUUUCUGAUGGAGCUAAUGUUGAGCCUAAAAAUGGUUUUCAAUCGGUGUUUUUAACAUGCUCGUGAUUUCUCUCCAGGUUUAUCUUGAAGUGCCAAACUUUUCCUGAAUGCUGCUUCCCUAAGUUGCACCGGAGGAUAUGGUGCUGCAUGUACUUGGGUUCAAGGCAGAGCCUAUUAUUUUGUGUUUUCUUGUGCUUAAACGGAAGAUUUAUUUCUUCUGCAUAAAUUAUAAUGCCACUCGGGGGUUGCAGAAACUGACUGCUGAAAGGAGGUCAGAAAAUCUCUCAUUUGGGACCUUGUCUCUGUCCCUUGGUGUUUUGUAUUAACUUUGGAACAACCCUCUCCUAAUUACCCUGCCUCUAUUGUUUAUUUCUGGUGUUUGAACUUUUAUCUAAAUUAAAUUUGUCGAGGCAGUUAGCUUUAUGAUAUGGAUGAGUUGUGUUAAAUAUAUAUGGAUUUUUUCUGGAUCUGAAUCUGAAUCAUUUUGGUUUGAUA
This is a non-coding RNA of Phoenix dactylifera (date palm), 1179 nucleotides long. The record is from RefSeq and is a predicted model, not a curated record. Lineage: Eukaryota; Viridiplantae; Streptophyta; Magnoliopsida; Arecales; Arecaceae.